This 799-nucleotide ribosomal RNA is filed under the name uncultured bacterium. RNAcentral describes it as "bacterial SSU rRNA". It matches the Rfam family "Bacterial small subunit ribosomal RNA", at positions 23 to 807 of the family's 1533-position model. The record is from RNAcentral.
CUCAGGAUGAACGCUGGCGGCGUGCUUAACACAUGCAAGUCCAACGGGGAUGCCAUUUUUGAGGCGGUUAGUUUACUAAGCGCCAAGAUGCCGGCAUCUUAGUGGCGGACGGGUGAGUAACGCGUGGGUAACCUGCCUUAUACAGGGGGAUAACACUUAAAAAUAGGUGCUAAUACCGCAUAAGCGCACGGGGCUGCAUGGCCCAGUGUGAAAAACUCCGGUGGUAUAAGAUGGACCCGCGUCUGAUUAGCUUGUUGGCGGGGUAACGGCCCACCAAGGCGACGAUCAGUAGCCGGCCUGAGAGGGUGGACGGCCACAUUGGGACUGAAACACGGCCCAAACUCCUACGGGAGGCAGCAGUUGGGGAAUAUUGGACAAUGGGGGGAACCCUGAUCCAGCGACGCCGCGUGAGUGAAGAAGUAUUUCGGUAUGUAAAGCUCUAUCAGCAGGGAAGAAAGAAAUGACGGUACCUGACUAAGAAGCCCCGGCUAACUACGUGCCAGCAGCCGCGGUAAUACGUAGGGGGCAAGCGUUAUCCGGAUUUACUGGGUGUAAAGGGAGCGUAGACGGUUACGCAAGUAUGAAGUGAAAGGCGGGGGCCCAACCCCCGGACUGCUUUGGAAACUGUGAAACUGGAGUGCAGGAGAGGUAAGUGGAAUUCCUAGUGUAGCGGUGAAAUGCGUAGAUAUUAGGAGGAACACCAGUGGCGAAGGCGGCUUACUGGACUGUAACUGACGUUGAGGCUCGAAAGCGUGGGGAGCAAACAGGAUUAGAUACCCUGGUAGUCCACGCCGUAAAC